RNAcentral lists this ribosomal RNA (497 nucleotides) under uncultured bacterium. RNAcentral's name for it is "partial 16S ribosomal RNA". It matches the Rfam family "Bacterial small subunit ribosomal RNA", at positions 28 to 507 of the family's 1533-position model. The record is from RNAcentral.
GAUGAACGCUGGCGGCGUGCCUAAUACAUGCAAGUCGAGCGAACAGAUGAGGAGCUUGCUCCUCUGACGUUAGCGGCGGACGGGUGAGUAACACGUGGAUAACCUACCUAUAAGACUGGGAUAACUUCGGGAAACCGGAGCUAAUACCGGAUAAUAUAUUGAACCGCAUGGUUCAAUAGUGAAAGACGGUUUUGCUGUCACUUAUAGAUGGAUCCGCGCCGCAUUAGCUAGUUGGUAAGGUAACGGCCUACCAAGGCAACGAUGCGUAGCCGACCUGAGAGGGUGAUCGGCCACACUGGAACUGAGACACGGUCCAGACUCCUACGGGAGGCAGCAGUAGGGAAUCUUCCGCAAAGGGCGAAAGCCUGACGGAGCAACGCCGCGUGAGUGAUGAAGGUCUUCGGAUCGUAAAACUCUGUUAUUAGGGAAGAACAAAUGUGUAAGUAACUAUGCACGUCUUGACGGUACCUAAUCAGAAAGCCACGGCUAACUACGUG